GACGAACGCUGGCGGCGCGCUUAACACAUGCAAGUCGAACGGAAAGGCCUGCUUUCCCUUGUGGAUUGCGGGUACUCGCGUGGCGAACGGGUGAGUAACACGUGAGUGAUCUGCCCCCAACUUGGGUAUAAGCCUGGGAAACUGGGUCUAAUUCCCGAUAGGACUGCAGGGUGGUGCCUGUGGUGGAAAACGAUUUUCUAGUGGUUGGGGAUGAGCUCGCGGCCUAUCAGCUUGUUGGUGGGGUAAUGGCCUACCAAGGCGGCGACGGGUAGCCGGCCUGAGAGGGUGGACGGCCACAUUGGGACUGAGAUACGGCCCAGACUCCUACGGGAGGCAGCAGUGGGGAAUAUGGCACAAUGGGCGGAAGCCUGAUGCAGCGACGCCGCGUGGGGGAUGACGGCCUUCGGGUUGUAAACUCCUUUCGACCGCGAGGAAGCCACCUGGUUGGAAGGGUGGUGACGGUAGUGGUAGAAGAAGCACCGGCUAACUACGUG
Molecule: ribosomal RNA, 494 nt
Filed under: uncultured bacterium
Lineage: Bacteria
Description: partial 16S ribosomal RNA
Rfam family: Bacterial small subunit ribosomal RNA
Source: RNAcentral